UGGGGAAUAUUGGACAAUGGGCGCAAGCCUGAUCCAGCCAUGCCGCGUGAGUGAUGAAGGCCCCAGGGUUGUAAAGCUCUUUCAUCGGUGAAGAUAAUGACGGUAACCGGAGAAGAAGCCCCGGCUAACUUCGUGCCAGCAGCCGCGGUAAUACGAAGGGGGCUAGCGUUGUUCGGACUUACUGGGCGUAAAGCGCACGUAGGCGGACUUUUAAGUCAGGGGUGAAAUCCCGGGGCUCAACCCCGGAACUGCCUUUGAUACUGGAAGUCUUGAGUAUGGUAGAGGUGGGUGGAAUUCCGAGUGUAGAGGUGAAAUUCGUAGAUAUUCGGAGGAACACCAAUGGCGAAGGCGGCUCACUGAACAAAUACUGACGCUGAGGUGCGAAAGCGUAGGGAGCAAACAGG
Molecule: ribosomal RNA, 404 nt
Filed under: Actinomycetes bacterium
Lineage: Bacteria; Bacillati; Actinomycetota; Actinomycetes
Description: Actinobacteria bacterium partial 16S ribosomal RNA
Rfam family: Bacterial small subunit ribosomal RNA
Source: RNAcentral